GCAUGAAGUCGGAAUUGCUAGUAAUCGCGGAUCAGUAUGCCGCGGUGAAUACGUUCCCGGGCCUUGUACACACCGCCCGUCACACCAUGGGAGCCGGUAAUACCCGAAGUCAGUAGUCCAACCCCGUGAGGACGCUGCCGAAGGUGGGAUUGGCGACUGGGGUGAAGUCGUAACAAGGUAAC
Molecule: ribosomal RNA, 182 nt
Filed under: uncultured bacterium
Lineage: Bacteria
Description: partial 16S ribosomal RNA
Rfam family: Bacterial small subunit ribosomal RNA
Source: RNAcentral